CAUUACAGAUUGGUCAAAUAAACAGCCUACAAGGUCUGGAGAAAUACAACGGCCCACAUAACCUGCGUGUGGUAAACAAUUCACCGACUGGUUUCAGACUAGAAUGGGACCUGCCUAAACGGGAAUCCUGCUAUGGAAGGGCGGACAUUCUGAUAAUUUUGUCGCACAGGAACGCAAAUGGCCAAGAAGUCCUGACCACGUUCUAUACGCGGGGCACAAGCACGUUUUUUCGACAUUCUGGGUCUCGACCCGGUGACUGAGUAUAAUCUUGGGCUGAACAUUCAAUCACCAGGAGGCAAUGUUCAGGAAACGGAAUUAGCAGUUACCACAAGA
Molecule: long non-coding RNA, 333 nt
Organism: Dreissena polymorpha
Lineage: Eukaryota; Metazoa; Mollusca; Bivalvia; Myida; Dreissenidae
Exons: 3
Source: RefSeq, a predicted model, not a curated record